Molecule: ribosomal RNA, 450 nt
Filed under: uncultured bacterium
Lineage: Bacteria
Description: bacterial SSU rRNA
Rfam family: Bacterial small subunit ribosomal RNA
Source: RNAcentral
GAUGAACGCUGGCGGCGUGCCUAACACAUGCAAGUUGAGCGAUUUACUUCGGUAAAGAGCGGCGGACGGGUGAGUAACGCGUGGGUAACCUGCCCUGUACACACGGAUAACAUACCGAAAGGUAUGCUAAUACGAGAUAAUAUGCUUUUAUCACAUGGUAGAAGCAUCAAAGCUUUUGCGGUACAGGAUGGACCCGCGUCUGAUUAGCUAGUUGGUAAGGUAACGGCUUACCAAGGCGACGAUCAGUAGCCGACCUGAGAGGGUGAUCGGCCACAUUGGAACUGAGACACGGUCCAAACUCCUACGGAGGCAGCAGUGGGGAAUAUUGCACAAUGGGCGAAAGCCUGAUGCAGCAACGCCGCGUGAGCGAUGAAGGCCUUCGGGUCGUAAAGGCUCUGUCCUCAAGGAGAUAAUGACGGUACUUGAGGAGGAAGCCCCGGCUAACUACGU